AUUGAACGCUGGCGGCAGGCCUAACACAUGCAAGUCGAGCGGCAGCGGAAGGAAGCUUGCUUUCUUGCCGGCGAGCGGCGGACGGGUGAGUAAGGUAUGGGGAUCUGGCCGAAGGCGGGGGAUAACCACUGGAAACGGUGGCUAAUACCGCAUAAUCUCUAAGGAGCAAAGUGGGGGACCGUUCAGGCCUCACACCUUCGGAUGAACCCAUAUGAGAUUAGCUAGUAGGUGGGGUAAUGGCUCACCUAGGCGACGAUCUCUAGCUGGUCUGAGAGGAUGAUCAGCCACACUGGGACUGAGACACGGCCCAGACUCCUACGGGAGGCAGCAGUGGGGAAUAUUGCACAAUGGGCGCAAGCCUGAUGCAGCCAUGCCGCGUGUAUGAAGAAGGCCUUCGGGUUGUAAAGUACUUUCAGUCGUGAGGAAGGUGUUAAGGUUAAUAACCUUAGCAAUUGACGUUAGCGACAGAAGAAGCACCGGCUAACUCCGUGCCAGCAGCCGCAGUAA
This 507-nucleotide ribosomal RNA is filed under the name uncultured bacterium. Its description in RNAcentral is "partial 16S ribosomal RNA". It matches the Rfam family "Bacterial small subunit ribosomal RNA", at positions 30 to 523 of the family's 1533-position model. The record is from RNAcentral.